UGAGUAACCUGCCCUUCACUCUGGGAUAACUCCGGGAAACCGGGGCUAAUACUGGAUACGACUCGAACAGGCAUCUGUUUCGGGUGGAAAGAUUUAUUGGUGGAGGAUGGACUCGCGGCCUAUCAGCUUGUUGGUGAGGUAAUGGCUCACCAAGGCGACGACGGGUAGCCGGCCUGAGAGGGCGAUCGGCCACACUGGGACUGAGACACGGCCCAGACUCCUACGGGGAGGCA
This 233-nucleotide ribosomal RNA is filed under the name uncultured bacterium. RNAcentral's name for it is "partial 16S ribosomal RNA". It matches the Rfam family "Bacterial small subunit ribosomal RNA", at positions 118 to 350 of the family's 1533-position model. The record is from RNAcentral.